UUCAUUGCUUCAUUCUUUCAUUGCUUUGCUGUGCAUUCUGUCCAAUUCUUUGUUCAAAAUGCCAAGAACCUGGACAAUUUGCAGUCAAGACCCUCCACCGGGAUAUGAACUUCCAAUUAUAUCAUUGGACUUGACUACUCCAUUUCUUUCCACAUUUAAAAAUCAAUCAGGGAGAAGCUAUUUUGAGAACUUAACACAGUAUUUAACAUGGGAUUUCUGAAUGAAGACAGUUUAUGGAUGAAUAAGGCACUCUCUCACCAAGUGAGUGGUUGGAGCAAGACAGUGUCUCGAGAUUGAAACAGAACACGAUGGAGCUGGAAGUUAUAGUUCUGAGAUCAUCAGGAAUCAGAGUCAAAUCAUUAACUAGUGAUUAUAUGCCACACAAGAAAUCCUCUCUGGGUUAGAAAUCUUAAAAUAAGAGGCUGUUAUAUACAUUUGUCGAGAUAAAAUUAUUGAUUAGUAUUUAUAAGACUUUGAUUUCAUAAACUUAAUAGACUACAUAUGCAACUUAGGAUAUAAUUCCAAAAAUCUAGCCACAGCACAUUUGUGUGUUUCAACAAAGUAAUGGCUUUUUUGUUAUUAGAAUAAAUAAAGUUACCUUGUGAGAAAUUGAUUGAUCUAACUACUUGUGAACAGGGGAAAGAAACGUUGUUAAUUAGAGGCCAUCUGUUGCAAAUGUGAUCUGGCCAGAAUUUUGUUUAACAUGUGGAACGCUUAUAAAUUAUCUGAGUUUGCACAUUUACCUUUAUUGCGGAGUCUCCCAGCCUACUCAUUAGAUCACCCGAAUGAGGUACACAGCAAACUCAUGUAACUAUCUAAAAUAAAAUUCCCCACAUUUAGGUGUUUGGAAUUAGCUAUGAAAUAAUAAAGUGUCUCUCAAUAAGAUAAAAUAUUUUUAUAACACUUUCUUAAAAACAUGGCCGGCUUUAAAGGAAGGGAGAGUUCAGUUUUUAAAUUAAAGUAGGUGUUAAAUUGACCUAAGGUACCUUGCAGACAUUUAGCCCAGCUUCCUCCCUGGCAGAGGAAGAAUUACCACCUAGAGAAAAGCACUAAACUGGCAAAAACAGAGCCCAGUCUUCGAACUUGCAGGCCAAUUUCCUUUGCAUAUACCAUGCUACCUAAUGAUCGAGAUACUCUAGAGUAAUUCUGAAUCCUGACCUCUAGAGUUGAGAGCAAUCAGUGGACAAGUAAGACAUGGCACUAUGGUGCAAAGAACCCCCACUUCAUCACAUACAAAAUUCAUCACAUUGGGCAACACACAAUAAUGGGACUUGAAGUAAGCUAACAAUACGUUAUCUUCUUCAGAGAGAGUUAAAAUUUAAUUUGAAUUAAGUAGAAAAUUAGAGACAGUGCAAAAGCAUUCAAAAUUAGCAUUUGCUUAUCUUAAACAACUCUUAAAAUUAAGUAAUUUUGUUAGUUCAGCUAUUUUAAAAUAUCAAUAAUCCAGCUA
RNAcentral lists this long non-coding RNA (1450 nucleotides) under Homo sapiens (human). RNAcentral's name for it is "HSALNT0301963". The record is from RNAcentral. Lineage: Eukaryota; Metazoa; Chordata; Mammalia; Primates; Hominidae.